This is a long non-coding RNA of Brassica napus (rape), 456 nucleotides long. RefSeq lists it as uncharacterized. The transcript has 5 exons. Lineage: Eukaryota; Viridiplantae; Streptophyta; Magnoliopsida; Brassicales; Brassicaceae. The record is from RefSeq and is a predicted model, not a curated record.
UUGAAAACCCUAGGCUCUCCAAUUCGACGAGGACAAAAGAAGAUGUUGCCGUUCCUGGGAAACACCUUGGCUAAGUCUUGCCGCAAGGGGAGCUAGGCUGCAGUGUCGUGAUUUUUCAUCCGUGAGUGAGAAAGCUGUCUCGAAAGUUUAUCGAUACUGCUUCACAGCGGUCUUUGGUGGUGCUGGAUUCCUGCUCGGUGGUGUGACAACAAGCCCCGUCUCUAAGGGGCUCCGGGAAUAUGAAGAGCGCUUCGUUAAAGGUCUCCAACGUCUGGAAAAAAUGGAGGCCAGGAGGGGCAAGUGGAUUUCCUCUCUUAAAGAGAAAACCAAGUGACGGUAAUUGGUUGCGUCUGUUUGUUUCUGUUUUGUCUAUGUUUGCAGCCGUUGAUGAACACAUUAUCUGCCAAUCACUGUAAUAACUACUUCAUGGUUGUGUCUUAUAAAAUAUUUCUGUUA